UACGUAGGGUGCAAGCGUUGUCCGGAAUUAUUGGGCGUAAAGAGCUCGUAGGCGGUCUGUCACGUCGGCUGUGAAAACCCGGGGCUCAACCCCGGGCCUGCAGUCGAUACGGGCAGACUAGAGUGCGGUAGGGGAGACUGGAAUUCCUGGUGUAGCGGUGAAAUGCGCAGAUAUCGGGAGGAACACCGGUGGCGAAGGCGGUUCUCUGGGCCUGUACUGACGCUGAGGAGCGAAAGCGUGGGGAGCGAACAGG
RNAcentral lists this ribosomal RNA (253 nucleotides) under uncultured bacterium. Its description in RNAcentral is "partial 16S ribosomal RNA". It matches the Rfam family "Bacterial small subunit ribosomal RNA", at positions 524 to 776 of the family's 1533-position model. The record is from RNAcentral.